This 204-nucleotide unclassified non-coding RNA is filed under the name plant metagenome. RNAcentral describes it as "partial contains small subunit ribosomal RNA, internal transcribed spacer 1, and 5.8S ribosomal RNA". The record is from RNAcentral.
UCUCCGUUGGUGAACCAGCGGAGGGAUCAUUACCGAGUUUACAACUCCCAAACCCAAUGUUAACUAUACCUGUCUCCCGUUGCUUCGGCGGGAUCGCCCGCCGCGGGACCGACAAAUAAACUCUUGUAUUUCUAUCUUUAGAAUGUCUGAGUGGAAGCAUAAACAAAUGAAUCAAAACUUUCAACAACGGAUCUCUUGGUUCUG